UACGGGGGGGGCAAGCGUUGUUCGGAAUUACUGGGCGUAAAGGGCGUGUAGGCGGCCAACUAAGUCCGACGUGAAAUCCCCAGGCUUAACCUGGGAACUGCGUCGGAUACUGGAUGGCUUGAAUUCGGGAGAGGGAUGCAGAAUUCCAGGUGUAGCGGUGAAGUGCGUAGAUAUCUGGAGGAAUACCGGUGGCGAAGGCGGCAUCCUGGACCGACAUUGACGCUGAAGCGCGAAAGCUAGGGGAGCAAACGGG
RNAcentral lists this ribosomal RNA (253 nucleotides) under uncultured bacterium. RNAcentral describes it as "partial 16S ribosomal RNA". It matches the Rfam family "Bacterial small subunit ribosomal RNA", at positions 524 to 776 of the family's 1533-position model. The record is from RNAcentral.